AUACGGAGGGUGCAAGCGUUACUCGGAAUCACUGGGCGUAAAGCGCGCGCAGGCGGCCAUUUAAGUUGGAUGUGAAAGCCUACGGCUCAACCGUAGAACUGCAUCCAAAACUAUUUGGCUAGAGUGUGGGAGAGGAAGAUGGAAUUAGUUGUGUAGGGGUAAAAUCCGUAGAGAUAACUAGGAAUAACAAAAGCGAAGGCAAUCUUCUGGAACAUUACUGACGCUGAGGCGCGAAAGCGUGGGGAGCAAACAGGAUUAGAAACCCCGGUAGUCC
This 274-nucleotide ribosomal RNA is filed under the name uncultured bacterium. RNAcentral describes it as "partial 16S ribosomal RNA". It matches the Rfam family "Bacterial small subunit ribosomal RNA", at positions 523 to 796 of the family's 1533-position model. The record is from RNAcentral.